CAGUGGCGGACGGGUGAGUAACGCGUAGGAAUCUAUCUUUGGAUGGGGGACAACCGUGGGAAACUACGGCUAAUACCGCAUGAUGCCUGAGGGCCAAAGCUUGAGAGAGCGUCUGAAGAGGAGCCUGCGUCUGAUUAGGUAGUUGGUGGGGUAAAGGCCUACCAAGCCUGCGAUCAGUAGCUGGUCUGAGAGGAUGAUCAGCCACAUUGGGACUGAGACACGGCCCAAACUCCUACGGGAGGCAGCAGUGGGGAAUAUUGGACAAUGGGGGCAACCCUGAUCCAGCAAUGCCGCGUGGGUGAAGAAGGUUUUCGGAUUGUAAAGCCCUUUUGGCGGGGACGAUGAUGACGGUACCCGCAGAAUAAGCUCCGGCUAACUUCGUGCCAGCAGCCGCGGUAAUACGAAGGGGGCUAGCGUUGCUCGGAAUGACUGGGCGUAAAGGGCGCGUAGGCGGCUUGCAUAGUUAGGCGUGAAAUUCCUGGGCUCAACCUGGGGACUGCGUCUAAUACAUGCAGGCUUGAGUGUGAAAGAGGGUCGUGGAAUUUCCAGUGUAGAGGUGAAAUUCGUAGAUAUUGGAA
This 578-nucleotide ribosomal RNA is filed under the name uncultured bacterium. RNAcentral describes it as "bacterial SSU rRNA". It matches the Rfam family "Bacterial small subunit ribosomal RNA", at positions 93 to 702 of the family's 1533-position model. The record is from RNAcentral.